GCUCUUAACUUUCAGAUUAAGGAAUUAAACUUUUUGAAUAAUCAAAGGGAAUCUAUGCGCAGUUGUAGGGAGGGGGCGACGUGGGGGAAAAGUUAGUUUUACAAAGUGAAGCUAACUCAGUUUAAUAAAUAGUUUUAGAAGUUUUUAGUGGUUAACAAAAGACUGCAUCCCUCUGAUGCGAGAACUGCCCAUGUUUCAUCUUGUCCGAGGCUGACCAUCCGCCUGUGCUCUCAAUGUGACUCUUCUAGCCCCUCAGAGACCACACCAGCGAGCAACAUCGCCACCUGCUGGAAGUUAGAGAAAUUACAGAAUUGGAUUAUCUUUAUUCAAAUAUUCUUGGAUUUCAGGGUUUAAAGAGCCCAGUCCCACAGAUGGGACUAUUUUCGAAGAGAAAGUCAUCACUGAAGCAGUUCUUUUCGUUAAAGUUUCCUCAGGGCUGUCCUGUUCUGUCUUCGAGCAGGAUCCUUGACACAGAGAAGCUCCCAGGCACUUCUUCACCUGAUCUGAACUGCUCCAAUUGUAAAAGCAACAUUUUAAGUUGAUGAGACUUGACCUCUUGCCCACCAGAUAACACUUGUUAAAACAGAUUUCAAGUCAUAAUCUCUCCUGAAGACUCUUGGUUCAUUGUCAUGCAUCCCCUGGUACUAUUAUACACAUCAAUUAUAAGAAGAAAGCUAACAGAAAAUAUGCUUCCUUGCCAGAGUAUACUACUAAGAUGGAAUCACAGCAGUAUUUUCUUCUAUGAACUCUAUAGCUUAGCUUAUUAAUAUGCUGAUGAAGCCAUUAGCAGUUUCAACAUUUGCAAUGAAAUCAAUUUGGUUAUACUCAUAAUAAAUUAAAAUUAAAAUAUUUCAAAAAGUCA
Gorilla gorilla gorilla (western lowland gorilla) is the source of this 862-nucleotide long non-coding RNA. RefSeq lists it as uncharacterized. NCBI's taxonomy places the organism in Eukaryota, Metazoa, Chordata, Mammalia, Primates, Hominidae. The record is from RefSeq and is a predicted model, not a curated record. The transcript is spliced from 3 exons.